AACAAGAAUUGGACAGUGAUUGCUUGCGCAAAUCUAGCUAAAGCUAAUCUGGGCUUCUUGGUCAAGCAAAGUGAAAGUGGGUUCGAGAUAUGAGGGGUUAAGUGAAACCAAGCAAAGCCAUUUCCAAACCGUACAUACACAUUUACUUGGCCUCAUUAUGUUUAGACAGACAGUCCCAGCGUGGGUCAGAAGACACUCCCACAAGGCAAUCCUUCAUGGCCUCAGCUUCUUACAACACACAACUAUUUCUUCUACAAAUUUUGCUUUCUUAUGAUAGGACAAUAGAACCCAUCACUCAAAGGGGGGGGGGGGGGGGGUGGUCUGUUUCACAAAGGAAAGCAGAAACCAGAAGAAAAAAACGCUUUGUGGUGAAGAUCAGUGGCAACUGGAGCUGUGAAGAAUGGAGAAGGCUGUGGUUGUCACAACUUGGAGAAUGCUUGUGAAGCAAAUGGGUUUCUUUGGCUUAUGUGAAGGUUGGGCUGAUUAUGGAAUAAACCCCAUUUUCAAAGUCCAAUCUUUGCAACUCGCUCUGCUCUUUCUCUUCUGCUUUGCCUUUUGAUGAUGGUGUUGGUGGUGGUGAUAUUGGCGGGACGGCUCAAUCUCUUAAUUUUAUGAUAUAAUUUUUAUUUCUUUUUCUUUUUAUCAUGAUGUUGUCCAUAUUGAAAGUUUAUGCAAAUGUUCUUUCUAAUGACACUAACUUGCCCCUUUGGUUUUGCAUUUGUGCCUUACUGCUUCUUGAAGAAAACCCCAAUAUUCCUUCAUAAAGCAAAGAAAGAAAAAGCAGCAGAUGAUAGAUUUUAUGCAGUAAAUAUGGGGCAGACAACUCUGUUUAGGAGUUGGUGAGUACUGAGUAAAGCUUUUAAUUUUUUGGGGUCCAUUAAUCUGCAGAGCAUUCAAUGUUACAGCACUGUUUCAUUAUCAAUUACAAAAUUUUCUGUCAGUCUUUUGCUUCUGUCUCUUUACAAUGUAUUUUUUUGUUGUCCCUUGGAAUUGAUAGCUAGCAUUAAAUUCUACUAGGUACUUUCAUUUUCAUUAUGUAUCAUACUUGUGAAGCAAAAAAGUUAUCAUUGAGGAUUUCCUUUUCAACGAUAA
Quercus lobata is the source of this 1092-nucleotide long non-coding RNA. RefSeq lists it as uncharacterized. Lineage: Eukaryota; Viridiplantae; Streptophyta; Magnoliopsida; Fagales; Fagaceae. The record is from RefSeq and is a predicted model, not a curated record. The transcript is spliced from 2 exons.